ACAUUUUACUCAUUUGUUUGUUUAUUAUUUGCACCUGUCAUCAUGUAAGUUUCAUGAGGUCAGGGAUUUUAGUUUUUUAGACUUAUUCAUUACUAUAUAUACAGCCUGGUAUAAAAAUAAAAAAACAUGAUGAAAGGUAUGUCUGAUUAAUCCCAAGUUUACUAACGAGCAAAACCAAGUCUGGUAGGUAUUCAAAUAUUAUUAAUAGUUAAGUAAACACUGACAAGGCACCUAGCAUAGACCAUGCCCAGGUCCCAGAGGUGCUGGGUGUCAAGAUUCUGUACUAACUUAGGAGGGUUGCAAGACCUAGGUUGAAGCCUUUUAGAUGUGAUGUGAUAAAAAGCAAAUUCACAUUUCCCAGCUUUCACCAGAAUCUGGCAAAGGAUGAAUUAGAUUUUUAGGGACAGUGGUUCUCAAUCCAAGCUACACAUUAGAAUCUGCUGGGAGCUUGAAAAAAAAAAUCCUGAUGCCCAAGCCACACCCUAGACAACGAAAUCAGACUCUCUGAGGAUGGAGCAUCAGCACUUUUAAUGCUCCUCAGGUGAUUCCGAUGUGCAGCCAGGGCUGAGAACCACUGUGCUAGAAGUUUAGAGAAGGGCGGGUAGCACCCUUGUUAUCCGAGGGGAAUGAGUGUUGGGAAACAGUCUCCUGACCGAACACACUCAAAGUGUCGACAACUCCUUUAAUAUGAAUACUUUCGGCAGUUUGAAUCACGGUGCGACGGAGGAGUAGGUGGUGGGAUCUCGCCGUGGGUCUGAUUAGCUCUUUCUCCGCCUUGCUGGCUUGAGCUUCAGCAGAAUUCGAAAUGGCUGGAGGUAAGGCUGGGAAGGACUCCGGAAAGGCCAAGACAAAGGCGGUUUCUCGCUCACAGAGAGCCGGCUUGCAGUUCCCAGUGGGCCGUAUUCAUCGACACCUGAAAUCCAGGACGACCAGCCAUGGACGUGCGGGCGCGACUGCCGCUGUGUACAGCGCAGCCAUUCUGGAGUACCUGACUGCAGAGAUGCUGGAACUGGCAGGAAAUGCAUCAAAAGACUUAAAGGUAAAGGUAUGACCCCUCGUCACUUGCAACUUGCUAUUCGUGGAGAUGAAGAGUUGGAUUCUCUCAUCAAGGCUACAAUGGCUGGUGGUGGUGUCAUUCCACAUAUCCACAAAUCUCUGAUUGGGAAGAAAGGACAACAGAAGACCGUCUAAAGGAUGCCUGGAUUCCUUGUCAUCUCAGGACUCGAAAUACUCUAACAGCUGUCCAGGGUUGGUGAUUCCAGUGGACUGUAUCUCUGUGAAAAACACAAUUUUGCCUUUUGGUAAUUCUAUUUGAGCAAGUUGGAAGUUCAAUUAGCUUUCCAACCAACCUAAUUUCUGCAUUCGAGUCUUAACCAUAUUUAAGUGUUACUGUGGUUUCAAAAAAGCUAUUGAUUCUGAAGUAGUGGGUUUUGAUUGAGUUGACUGUUUUUAAAAAACUGUUUGGAUUUUAAUUGUGAUGCAGAAGUUAUAGUGACAAACAUUUGGUUUUGUACAGACAUUAUUUCCACUCUGGUGGAUAAGCUCAAUAAAGGUCAUAUCCC
RNA transcript from Sapajus apella (tufted capuchin), 1562 nucleotides. It is a transcript of the gene named histone H2A.Z pseudogene, with no coding region annotated. The transcript has a single exon. Lineage: Eukaryota; Metazoa; Chordata; Mammalia; Primates; Cebidae. The record is from RefSeq and is a predicted model, not a curated record.